CAACAUGUCGUAAAAAAAAUUGAAAAUGAAUGAAUGAAAAAAGAAGAAGAUAAUGUCUCGGGAAGAGGGGAUCUCCUUGCCAACUAGCCAGAAGCAUGUAAAAGAAAAUCAAACCAAUUGGGGUUGUCCUUUUAGCCGAUCUUUUUCAUGCCCACUACCUCUUCCAAACGGAACCCUUUGCCAAGGAAAAAACUGGGGCAACUUUGUGAGUCUCAUACAAAUUUUUCAUCAACCCAUGAUCCCNAGANUNGGGCAGCUUUGUNANUCUCAUACAANUUUUUCAUCAACCCAUGAUCCCAAGACUGGGGCAGAUUUGUGAGUCUCAUACAAAUUUUCAUCAACCCAUGAUCCCAAGACUGGGGCAGAUUUGCAAGUUUCAUUUGAUUUGUUCACCCUAAUUUUCAUGGAUCCAUACCCCUAUGCUCAUUUUCCCAAACGCUAAACCGGGGCAAAAAUUUUUGGUAUAUCGUGUUUUGUCUUGACACUCACAUAUUACACCUCCGUCAAGGAGUGAAUGAGGAAUGAUGUGCCCACAUGGCUGUCCUAGUCUUCUCCAAACCCUCCAAUACAUCUCUCAUUUUUCACCUACCAGUUCAAGCAUGUGUGCAC
Molecule: long non-coding RNA, 609 nt
Filed under: Vigna radiata
Lineage: Eukaryota; Viridiplantae; Streptophyta; Magnoliopsida; Fabales; Fabaceae
Description: long non-coding RNA (VRAD_LNC001006)
Source: RNAcentral